AUUGAACGCUGGCGGCAGGCCUAACACAUGCAAGUCGAGCGAGCGGCGGACGGGUGAGUAAUGUAUGGGGACUGCCCGAUAGAGGGGGAUCACUACUGGAAACGGUGGCUAAUACCGCAUACUAUCGGAUAACCCAUAUGGGAUUAGCUAGUAGGUGGGGUAAAGGCUCACCUAGGCGACGAUCUCUAGCUGGUCUGCGAGGAUGAUCAGUCACACAGGGACUGAGACACGGCCCAGACUCCAAGGGAGGAAGCCGGGGGGAAUAUGGCACAAUGGGCGCAAGCUGGAAGCAGCCCUGCCGGGUUUAUGAAGAAGGCCUUAGGGUUGUAAAGUACUUUCAGCGGGGAGGCGUUACCCGCAGAAGAAGCACCGGCUAACUCCGUGCCAGCAGCCGCGGUAAUAC
Molecule: ribosomal RNA, 403 nt
Filed under: uncultured bacterium
Lineage: Bacteria
Description: partial 16S ribosomal RNA
Rfam family: Bacterial small subunit ribosomal RNA
Source: RNAcentral